RNAcentral lists this ribosomal RNA (253 nucleotides) under uncultured bacterium. RNAcentral describes it as "partial 16S ribosomal RNA". It matches the Rfam family "Bacterial small subunit ribosomal RNA", at positions 524 to 776 of the family's 1533-position model. The record is from RNAcentral.
UACGUAGGUGGCGAGCGUUGUCCGGAUUUACUGGGCGUAAAGCGCGCGCAGGCGGACUGAUCAGUCUGGGGUGAAAUCUCACGGCUCAACUGUGAGCGGUCCCUGGAUACUGUCAGCCUUGAGAUGUCUAGAGGAGAGCGGAAUUCCCGGUGUAGUGGUGGAAUGCGUAGAUAUCGGGAAGAACACCAGUGGCGAAAGCGGCUCUCUGGGGACCAUCUGACGCUGAGGCGCGAAAGCGUGGGGAGCAAACAGG